Molecule: ribosomal RNA, 253 nt
Filed under: uncultured bacterium
Lineage: Bacteria
Description: partial 16S ribosomal RNA
Rfam family: Bacterial small subunit ribosomal RNA
Source: RNAcentral
UACAGGGGGGGCAAGCGUUGUUCGGAAUUACUGGGCGUAAAGGGUUCGUAGGUGGCCACUUAAGUCAGACGUGAAAUCCCUCAGCUUAACUGGGGAACUGCGUCUGAUACUGGGUGGCUUGAGUGCAGGAGAGGAAUGCGGAAUUCCAGGUGUAGCGGUGAAAUGCGUAGAUAUCUGGAGGAACACCGGUGGCGAAGGCGGUUCUCUGGGCCUGUACUGACGCUCAUGCACGAAAGCGUGGGGAGCAAACAGG